AGAGUUUGAUCAUGGCUCAGAUUGAACGCUGGCGGCAUGCCUUACACAUGCAAGUCGAACGCGAAAGUGGGGGCAACCCUGCAAGUAGAGUGGCGAACGGGUGAGUAAUACAUCGGAACGUACCCCAGGAGUGGGGGACAACCUCGAGAAAUCGAGGCUAAUACCGCAUACGUCCUGAGGGAGAAAGCGGGGGAUUCGCAAGGACCUCGCGCUCAUGGAGCGGCCGAUGUCGGAUUAGCUAGUUGGCGGGGUAAGAGCCCACCAAGGCGACGAUCCGUAGCUGGUUUGAGAGAACGACCAGCCACACUGGGACUGAGACACGGCCCAGACUCCUACGGGAGGCAGCAGUGGGGAAUUUUGGACAAUGGGGGCAACCCUGAUCCAGCCAUGCCGCGUGAGUGAAGAAGGCCUUCGGGUUGUAAAGCUCUUUCGGCCGGAACGAAAUCGGUUGCGUGAAUAACGCAACUGGAUGACGGUACUGGAAGAAGAAGCACCGGCUAACUACGUGCCAGCAGCCGCGGUAAUACGUAGGGUGCGAGCGUUAAUCGGAAUUACUGGGCGUAAAGCGUGCGCAGGCGGUUCUGCAAGUCAGAUGUGAAAUCCCCGGGCUUAACCUGGGAACUGCGUUUGAAACUACGGAGCUAGAGUGCGGCAGAGGGGGGUGGAAUUCCACGUGUAGCAGUGAAAUGCGUAGAUAUGUGGAGGAACACCGAUGGCGAAGGCAGCCCCCUGGGCCGACACUGAUGCUCAGGCACGAAAGCGUGGGGAGCAAACAGGAUUAGAUACCCUAGUAGUCC
RNAcentral lists this ribosomal RNA (797 nucleotides) under uncultured bacterium. RNAcentral's name for it is "bacterial SSU rRNA". It matches the Rfam family "Bacterial small subunit ribosomal RNA", at positions 8 to 796 of the family's 1533-position model. The record is from RNAcentral.